Molecule: non-coding RNA, 30 nt
Filed under: Mus musculus (house mouse)
Lineage: Eukaryota; Metazoa; Chordata; Mammalia; Rodentia; Muridae
Source: RNAcentral
UGAUAGUUCCAUGUUAAAAUUUGGGAUAAA